CCUACGGGAGGCUGCAGUGGGGAAUAUUGGACAAUGGGCGAAAGCCUGAUCCAGCCAUGCCGCGUGUGUGAAGAAGGCCUUCGGGUUGUAAAGCACUUUCAGUGGGGAAGAAAGCCUUGGGGCUAAUACCCUCGGGGAAGGACAUCACCCACAGAAGAAGCACCGGCUAACUCCGUGCCAGCAGCCGCGGUAAUACGGAGGGUGCGAGCGUUAAUCGGAAUUACUGGGCGUAAAGCGCGCGUAGGCGGUCUGAUAAGCCGGUUGUGAAAGCCCCGGGCUCAACCUGGGAACGGCAUCCGGAACUGUCAGGCUAGAGUGCAGGAGAGGAAGGUAGAAUUCCCGGUGUAGCGGUGAAAUGCGUAGAGAUCGGGAGGAAUACCAGUGGCGAAGGCAGCCUUCUGGACUGACACUGACGCUGAGGUGCGAAAGCGUGGGUAGCAAACAGGAUUAGAUACCCCUGUAGUC
RNAcentral lists this ribosomal RNA (465 nucleotides) under Vreelandella stevensii. RNAcentral's name for it is "partial 16S ribosomal RNA". It matches the Rfam family "Bacterial small subunit ribosomal RNA", at positions 338 to 795 of the family's 1533-position model. The record is from RNAcentral. Lineage: Bacteria; Pseudomonadati; Pseudomonadota; Gammaproteobacteria; Oceanospirillales; Halomonadaceae.